Molecule: small RNA, 28 nt
Filed under: Bombyx mori (domestic silkworm)
Lineage: Eukaryota; Metazoa; Arthropoda; Insecta; Lepidoptera; Bombycidae
Description: ovarian small RNA-2375
Source: RNAcentral
UUGAGGAAUGAUCAGUGAACGUGGUCGC